GACGAACGCUGGCGGCGUGCUUAACACAUGCAAGUCGAACGAAAAGAGGGAAAGAGCUUGCUCUUUCCGGAAUUGAGUGGCAAACGGGUGAGUAACACGUAAACAACCUGCCUUCAGGAUGGGGACAACAGACGGAAACGACUGCUAAUACCGAAUAAGUUCCAAGAGCCGCAUGGCCCAUGGAAGAAAAGGUGGCCUCUACCUGUAAGCUAUCGCCUGAAGAGGGGUUUGCGUCUGAUUAGCUGGUUGGAGGGGUAACGGCCCACCAAGGCGACGAUCAGUAGCCGGGCUGAGAGGAUGAACGGCCACACUGGAACUGAGACACGGUCCAGACUCCUACGGGAGGCAGCAGUGGGGAAUCUUCCGCAAUGGGCGAAAGCCUGACGGAGCAACGCCGCGUGAGUGAUGACGGCCUUCGGGUUGUAAAACUCUGUGAUCCGGGACGAAAAGGCAGAGUGCGAAGAACAAACUGCAUUGACGGUACCGGAAAAGCAAGCCACGGCUAACUACGUG
RNAcentral lists this ribosomal RNA (513 nucleotides) under uncultured bacterium. Its description in RNAcentral is "partial 16S ribosomal RNA". It matches the Rfam family "Bacterial small subunit ribosomal RNA", at positions 28 to 507 of the family's 1533-position model. The record is from RNAcentral.